UAGCCUUGACAUAUUUUAGAACUCCGUAGAGAUACAGAGGUGCCUUCGGGAGCUAAUUUACAGGUGCUGCACGGCUGUCGUCAGCUCGUGUCGUGAGAUGUUGGGUUAAGUCCCGCAACGAGCGCAACCCUCGUCACUAGUUACUAACGGUUCGGCCGAGGACUCUAGUGAGACUGCCUUCGUAAGGAGGAGGAAGGUGAGGACGACGUCAAGUCAUCAUGGCCCUUACGGCUAGGGCAACACACGUGCUACAAUGGCCAGGACAGUGAGACGCGAUACCGUGAGGUGGAGCAAAUCUAUAAACCUGGUCUCAGUUCGGAUUGUAGUCUGCAACUCGACUACAUGAAGCUGGAAUCACUAGUAAUCGUAGAUCAGCUAUGCUACGGUGAAUUCGUUACCGCGGGUCU
RNAcentral lists this ribosomal RNA (407 nucleotides) under uncultured bacterium. Its description in RNAcentral is "bacterial SSU rRNA". It matches the Rfam family "Bacterial small subunit ribosomal RNA", at positions 976 to 1378 of the family's 1533-position model. The record is from RNAcentral.